RNAcentral lists this ribosomal RNA (555 nucleotides) under Macrorileya sp. GDEL1005. RNAcentral's name for it is "eukaryotic LSU rRNA". It matches the Rfam family "Eukaryotic large subunit ribosomal RNA", at positions 658 to 1163 of the family's 3401-position model. The record is from RNAcentral. Lineage: Eukaryota; Metazoa; Arthropoda; Insecta; Hymenoptera; Eurytomidae.
AACACGGACCAAGGAGUCUAACAUGUGCGCGAGUCAUUGGGACUUGAAAGCCUAAAGGCGCAAUGAAAGUAAAGGUAGGCCUUAGCGUCGACCGAGGGAGGAUGGCUCGCGUCACGAUGCGAGUCCGCACUCCCGGGGCGUCUCGUGCUCAUCGCGAGCAGAGGCGCACCCAGAGCGUACACGUUGGGACCCGAAAGAUGGUGAACUAUGCCUGGUCAGGACGAAGUCAGGGGAAACCCUGAUGGAGGUCCGUAGCGAUUCUGACGUGCAAAUCGAUCGUCGGAACUGGGUAUAGGGGCGAAAGACUAAUCGAACCAUCUAGUAGCUGGUUCCCUCCGAAGUUUCCCUCAGGAUAGCUGGCACUCGCUUGAGCGAGUCUCAUCUGGUAAAGCGAAUGAUUAGAGGCCUUGGGGCCGAAACGACCUCAACCUAUUCUCAAACUUUAAAUGGGUGAGAUCUCUGGCUUGCUUGAACGCUGAAGCCACGAGAUGCAAUUUGCAAUGGAUCAGAGUGCCAAGUGGGCCAAUUUUGGUAAGCAGAACUGGCGCUGUGGGA